RNAcentral lists this ribosomal RNA (42 nucleotides) under Rosularia serrata. RNAcentral's name for it is "partial 26S ribosomal RNA". RNAcentral also lists the same sequence under 3 other names. Lineage: Eukaryota; Viridiplantae; Streptophyta; Magnoliopsida; Saxifragales; Crassulaceae. The record is from RNAcentral.
GUGACCCCAGGUCAGGCGGGACUACCCGCUGAGUUUAAGCAU